UAUGGUACUUUUUUUCCCUCCUCCUCUUUCCUCCUUCCUUUCCUUUCUUUCUCCUUCUUUCUUUUUUUUCCCUUUCUCUUCUUCCUUCUCUUCAUCUUUUUUUGAAAUGUAGACGCUCAACGUCUGCACUGCAGCGCGAACUGGUUUCCUUGAGUACGCACAAAGUGGGCGGAAUUCGUGGUGUAGCGGUGAAAUGCUUAGAUAUCACGAAGAACUCCGAUUGCGAAGGCAGCUCACUGGAGCGCAACUGACGCUGAAGCUCGAAAGUGCGGGUAUCGAACAGG
RNAcentral lists this ribosomal RNA (284 nucleotides) under Segatella copri DSM 18205. RNAcentral describes it as "Prevotella copri DSM 18205 partial 16S ribosomal RNA". It matches the Rfam family "Bacterial small subunit ribosomal RNA", at positions 610 to 776 of the family's 1533-position model. The record is from RNAcentral. Lineage: Bacteria; Pseudomonadati; Bacteroidota; Bacteroidia; Bacteroidales; Prevotellaceae.